This 384-nucleotide ribosomal RNA is filed under the name uncultured bacterium. RNAcentral describes it as "bacterial SSU rRNA". It matches the Rfam family "Bacterial small subunit ribosomal RNA", at positions 29 to 414 of the family's 1533-position model. The record is from RNAcentral.
ACGAACGCUGGCGGCGUGCUUAACACAUGCAAGUCGAGCGGUAAGGCCCUUUCGGGGGUACGACGAGCGGCGAACGGGUGAGUAACACGUGGGUGACCUGCCCUCAGCUCUGGGAUAAGCCUGGGAAACUGGGUCUAAUACUGGAUAUGACUCCACGGUGCAUGUCGUGGGGUGGAAAGCCUUGUGCGGCUGAGGAUGGGCCCGCGGCCUAUCAGCUUGUUGGUGGGGUGAGGCCUACCAAGGCGACGACGGGUAGCCGGCCUGAGAGGGCGACCGGCCACACUGGGACUGAGACACGGCCCAGACUCCUACGGGAGGCAGCAGUGGGGAAUCUUGCGCAAUGGGCGAAAGCCUGACGCAGCGACGCCGCGUGAGGGAUGACGG